CUAUACCCUCCUUUAGCACUAAUGUUCAUAAGUCAAUAUACAGUAGUAUGUAUUAGACCUAGAACUUUACUAGCUCGUUCAUUUUUUUUAGUAAAAGAUGAUUUAGUCAUCUUCUCAAGAAGACAAGACUCAGAUCAGUAAUGAUUCACAAUCAUUGAUAUUGAGGAUAUCCUCUUGUGCUAACCUGUUUAUCCUACUCUUGUUAAUGUGACCA
RNAcentral lists this long non-coding RNA (214 nucleotides) under Elaeis guineensis (African oil palm). RNAcentral's name for it is "long non-coding RNA (EGUI_LNC047787)". Lineage: Eukaryota; Viridiplantae; Streptophyta; Magnoliopsida; Arecales; Arecaceae. The record is from RNAcentral.